RNAcentral lists this ribosomal RNA (257 nucleotides) under uncultured prokaryote. RNAcentral's name for it is "partial 16S ribosomal RNA". It matches the Rfam family "Bacterial small subunit ribosomal RNA", at positions 524 to 780 of the family's 1533-position model. The record is from RNAcentral.
UACGUAGGUGGCAAGCGUUGUCUGGAUUUAUUGGGCGUAAAGCGAGCGCAGGCGGUUCUUUAAGUCUGAUGUGAAAGCCCACGGCUCAACCGUGGAAGGUCAUUGGAAACUGGGUCACUUGAAUAUAGAAGAGGAAAGUGGAAUUCCAUGUGUAGCGGUGAAAUGCGUAGAUAUAUGGAGGAACACCAGUGGCGAAGGCGACUUUCUGGUCUAUUAUUGACGCUGAGGCUCGAAAGCAUGGGUAGCGAACAGGAUUA